Molecule: ribosomal RNA, 557 nt
Filed under: Leptophyes punctatissima
Lineage: Eukaryota; Metazoa; Arthropoda; Insecta; Orthoptera; Tettigoniidae
Description: SSU rRNA
Rfam family: Eukaryotic small subunit ribosomal RNA
Source: RNAcentral
AUGAUUCGUGGGACGUCCUGCCGGUGGUGGCGAGUCGAAGGCGAGCUCCCGUCGUGGUUCCCACUUCGGUUCUUGCUCGCCCGAGGCGGACCCCGAUGAAAUCCUACCGCGGUGCUCUUCACCGAGUGUCGAGGUGGGCCGGCACGUUUACUUUGAACAAAUUAGAGUGCUUAAAGCAGGCCUGUUGCGCCUGAAUACUGUGUGCAUGGAAUAAUGGAAUAGGACCUCGGUUCUAUUUUGUUGGUUUUCGGAACCCGAGGUAAUGAUUAAUAGGGACAGGCGGGGGCAUUCGUAUUGCGACGUUAGAGGUGAAAUUCUUGGAUCGUCGCAAGACGGACCGAAGCGAAAGCAUUUGCCAAGUAUGUUUUCAUUAAUCAAGAACGAAAGUUAGAGGUUCGAAGGCGAUCAGAUACCGCCCUAGUUCUAACCAUAAACGAUGCCAGCUAGCGAUCCGCCGAAGUUCCUCCGAUGACUCGGCGGGCAGCUCCCGGGAAACCAAGCUUUUGGGUUCCGGGGAAGUAUGGUUGCAAGCUGAACUUAAGGAAUUGACGGAGGGC